GAUGAACGCUGGCGGCGUGCCUAAUACAUGCAAGUCGAGCGAACGGACGAGAAGCUUGCUUCUCUGAUGUUAGCGGCGGACGGGUGAGUAACACGUGGAUAACCUACCUAUAAGACUGGGAUAACUUCGGGAAACCGGAGCUAAUACCGGAUGAUAUUUUGAACCGCAUGGUUCAAAAGUGAAAGACGGUCUUGCUGUCACUUAUGGAUGGAUCCGCGCUGCAUUAGCUAGUUGGUAAGGUAAUGGCUUACCAAGGCAACGAUGCAUAGCCGACCUGAGAGGGUGAUCGGCCACACUGGAACUGAGACACGGUCCAGACUCCUACGGGAGGCAGCAGUAGGGAAUCUUCCGCAAUGGGCGAAAGCCUGACGGAGCAACGCCGCGUGAGUGAUGAAGGUCUUCGGAUCGUAAAACUCUGUUAUUAGGGAAGAACAUAUGUGUAAGUAACUGUGCACAUCUUGACGGUACCUAAUCAGAAAGCCACGGCUAACUACGUG
Molecule: ribosomal RNA, 497 nt
Filed under: uncultured bacterium
Lineage: Bacteria
Description: partial 16S ribosomal RNA
Rfam family: Bacterial small subunit ribosomal RNA
Source: RNAcentral